UACCAGACCUUUUCUCCUUAAACUAUAAAUUGAAUUAAUUAAUGCAGGAAAAAUUAUUUUACUUUAUAUAAUUUAUGUAGACUACUUAAAUGAGCUUUUAAAAAAGUAAGUAUUAAAAUGAAUCAAUAUCAAUUUAACUGUGAUAUUAAGUUGUUGCCAGCCAUUAACAACUCAUACAAUUGACUAAUAAUCAAAUGUACUAUGCCUUCACUAUUUAUUAACCAGCCUAUGAUAUUAACAUGUCAGCUAGAAUGUGUCAUUUGGCCUUUUGUUUGGGUUCCUUGUAUGGACUCUGUGGAGUGGUCUUAAAAUUAGAAUUUGAGUUGGACUCUCUCUCUCUCUCUUUUUUAAAGAUGGAUAUAACAAUUCAAACGGGGGACUCACUUCUAGAAAUUCCAAAAUGUCACAAAUGCUGCAGUGAUUUUGACUACCAUCAAAGUGGUUCCCCCUAAAGCCAUGUGUGCCUGUCUACAUGGACAGCCAUUAUUCAUGGACUAUGUGAAAUGCAGGCAUUAUCCUGGCAGGAAGCUGAGCAGGUGUUCCUCAGUGGCCCUUCUUAUCACUCUAGUGAAGUCGAGGAAUUUGACAGAGCAGUUUCCAAAAGACAGAAGAAGGAAAAAAAUCACCUGCAGGAA
This is a non-coding RNA of Paramisgurnus dabryanus, 635 nucleotides long. Lineage: Eukaryota; Metazoa; Chordata; Actinopteri; Cypriniformes; Cobitidae. The record is from RefSeq and is a predicted model, not a curated record.